GAUAAAUUUAUUAAGGACGCAAGGAAGAUGAUUAAACACUAGAAGCCAAUGCAGGACGUUACUAAAGACGAAAUGCUAUGCGAGUGAUGUAAGUACGUAUUGAUCCAGAGAUAUACGAGUGGCAAACCCUAGAACGAGUUCUGCCACGUUAUCGUUAUGUGAAUCCAUCGCAUCGCCGAAGGUACCCCCGUACAACUGAAACAUUACAGUGCCAGGAGGAAGAGAAAGAACAUUAUAUUCCCUUAGUCGCGGCGAGCCAAAUGGGAAG
RNAcentral lists this ribosomal RNA (268 nucleotides) under Staphylococcus aureus. RNAcentral's name for it is "partial 23S ribosomal RNA". It matches the Rfam family "Bacterial large subunit ribosomal RNA", at positions 1 to 265 of the family's 2925-position model. Lineage: Bacteria; Bacillati; Bacillota; Bacilli; Caryophanales; Staphylococcaceae. The record is from RNAcentral.